ACGGAAGGCAGCAGUGGGGAAUAUUGCACAAUGGGCGAAAGCCUGAUGCAGCGACGCCGCGUGAGCGAAGAAGUAUUUCGGUAUGUAAAGCUCUAUCAGCAGGGAAGAUAAUGACGGUACCUGACUAAGAAGCACCGGCUAAAUACGUGCCAGCAGCCGCGGUAAUACGUAUGGUGCAAGCGUUAUCCGGAUUUACUGGGUGUAAAGGGAGCGUAGGCGGUUUUACAAGUCUGAUGUGAAAGCCCGGGGCUCAACUCCGGUAUUGCAUUGGAAACUGUAGAACUAGAGUGUCGGAGGGGUAAGUGGAAUUCCUAGUGUAGCGGUGAAAUGCGUAGAUAUUAGGAGGAACACCAGUGGCGAAGGCGGCUUACUGAACGAUUACUGACGCUGAGGCUCGAAAGCGUGGGGAGCAAACAGGAUUAGAUACCCUGGUA
Molecule: ribosomal RNA, 434 nt
Filed under: uncultured Pseudobutyrivibrio sp.
Lineage: Bacteria; Bacillati; Bacillota; Clostridia; Lachnospirales; Lachnospiraceae
Description: partial 16S ribosomal RNA
Rfam family: Bacterial small subunit ribosomal RNA
Source: RNAcentral